UGGGGAAUAUUGGACAAUGGGCGCAAGCCUGAUCCAGCCAUGCCGCGUGGGUGAAGAAGGCCUUCGGGUUGUAAAGCCCUUUUGUUGGGAAAGAAAAGCAGUCGGUUAAUACCCGAUUGUUCUGACGGUACCCAAAGAAUAAGCACCGGCUAACUUCGUGCCAGCAGCCGCGGUAAUACGAAGGGUGCAAGCGUUACUCGGAAUUACUGGGCGUAAAGCGUGCGUAGGUGGUUUGUUAAGUCUGAUGUGAAAGCCCUGGGCUCAACCUGGGAAUUGCAUUGGAUACUGGCAGGCUGGAGUGCGGUAGAGGGUAGUGGAAUUCCCGGUGUAGCAGUGAAAUGCGUAGAGAUCGGGAGGAACAUCCGUGGCGAAGGCGACUACCUGGACCAGCACUGACACUGAGGCACGAAAGCGUGGGGAGCAAACAGGAUUAGAUACCCUGGUAGUCCACGCCCUAAACGAUGCGAACUGGAUGUUGGGUUCAAUUAGGAACUCAGUAUCGAAGCUAACGCGUUAAGUUCGCCGCCUGGGGAGUACGGUCGCAAGACUGAAACUCAAAUGAGUUGACGGGGUCAUAGCUGUUUCC
This 586-nucleotide ribosomal RNA is filed under the name uncultured bacterium. RNAcentral's name for it is "partial 16S ribosomal RNA". It matches the Rfam family "Bacterial small subunit ribosomal RNA", at positions 355 to 937 of the family's 1533-position model. The record is from RNAcentral.